GCGGGAGGCUAACACAUGCAAGUCGAGCGGUAACACAGAGAGCUUGCUCUCGGGUGACGAGCGGCGGACGGGUGAGUAAUGUCUGGGAAACUGCCUGAUGGAGGGGGAUAACUACUGGAAACGGUAGCUAAUACCGCAUAACGUCGCAAGACCAAAGUGGGGGACCUUCGGGCCUCAUGCCAUCAGAUGUGCCCAGAUGGGAUUAGCUAGUAGGUGGGGUAAUGGCUCACCUAGGCGACGAUCCCUAGCUGGUCUGAGAGGAUGACCAGCCACACUGGAACUGAGACACGGUCCAGACUCCUACGGGAGGCAGCAGUGGGGAAUAUUGCACAAUGGGCGCAAGCCUGAUGCAGCCAUGCCGCGUGUAUGAAGAAGGCCUUCGGGUUGUAAAGUACUUUCAGAAGCGAGGAGGAAGGCGUUAAGGUUAAUAACCUUGGCGAUUGACGUUACUCGCAGAAGAAGCACCGGCUAACUCCGUGCCAGACAGCAGCCGCGGUAAUACGGAGGGUGCAAGCGUUAAUCGGAAUUACUGGGCGUAAAGCGCACGCAGGCGGUCUGUCAAGUCGGAUGUGAAAUCCCCGGGCUCAACCUGGGAACUGCAUUCACUGGCAGGCUAGAGUCUUGUAGAGGGGGGUAGAAUUCCAGGUGUAGCGGUGAAAUGCGUAGAGAUCUGGAGGAAUACCGGUGGCGAAGGCGGCCCCCUGGACAAAGACUGACGCUCAGGUGCGAAAGCGUGGGGAGCAAACAGGAUUAGAUACCCUGGCCACGCCGUAAACGAUGUCGACUUGGAGGUUGUGCCCUUGAGGCGUGGCUUCCGGGAGCUAACGCGUUAAGUCGACCGCCUGGGGAGUACGGCCGCAAGGUUAAAACUCAAAUGAAUUAGUUUGACGGGGGCCCGCACAAGCGGUGGAGCAUGUGGUUUAUUCGAUGCACGCGAAGAAUCCUUACCUACUCUUGACAUCAGAGACUUAGCAGAGAUGCUUUUGUGCUUCGGGACUCUGAGUGCUGCAUGCUGUCGUCAGCUCGUGUGUGAAAUGUGGAUAGUUCCCGCACGAGCGCACCCUUAUCUUGUGCAGCGAUCAGCGGACUCAAGAAACUGCAUGAUAACUGGAGAGGUGGGAUGACUUCAGUCUACUGGCUUACAGAGAUGGGCUUACACACAGUUGUCUUCUAUCACAUGGUC
This 1183-nucleotide ribosomal RNA is filed under the name Klebsiella aerogenes. RNAcentral describes it as "bacterial SSU rRNA". It matches the Rfam family "Bacterial small subunit ribosomal RNA", at positions 39 to 1240 of the family's 1533-position model. The record is from RNAcentral. Lineage: Bacteria; Pseudomonadati; Pseudomonadota; Gammaproteobacteria; Enterobacterales; Enterobacteriaceae.